RNAcentral lists this ribosomal RNA (497 nucleotides) under uncultured bacterium. Its description in RNAcentral is "partial 16S ribosomal RNA". It matches the Rfam family "Bacterial small subunit ribosomal RNA", at positions 28 to 507 of the family's 1533-position model. The record is from RNAcentral.
GAUGAACGCUGGCGGCGUGCCUAAUACAUGCAAGUCGAGCGAACGGACGAGAAGCUUGCUUCUCUGAUGUUAGCGGCGGACGGGUGAGUAACACGUGGAUAACCUACCUAUAUGACUGGGAUAACUUCGGGAAACCGGAGCUAAUACCGGAUAAUAUUUUGAACCGCAUGGUUCAAAAGUGAAAGACGGUCUUGCUGUCACUUAUAGAUGGAUCCGCGCUGCAUUAGCUAGUUGGUAAGGUAACGGCUUACCAAGGCAACGAUGCAUAGCCGACCUGAGAGGGUGAUCGGCCACACUGGAACUGAGACACGGUCCAGACUCCUACGGGAGGCAGCAGUAGGGAAUCUUCCGCAAUGGGCGAAAGCCUGACGGAGCAACGCCGCGUGAGUGAUGAAGGUCUUCGGAUCGUAAAACUCUGUUAUUAGGGAAGAACAUAUGUGUAAGUAACUGUGCACAUCUUGACGGUACCUAAUCAGAAAGCCACGGCUAACUACGUG